Molecule: long non-coding RNA, 3041 nt
Filed under: Nicotiana benthamiana
Lineage: Eukaryota; Viridiplantae; Streptophyta; Magnoliopsida; Solanales; Solanaceae
Description: long non-coding RNA (NBEN_LNC005695)
Source: RNAcentral
GCACCCCCGGUCUAUCUCUCUCAUCUCUCUCAUUUCCCUCAAGAAUCCUAGAGCGCCGUCCUAAAACGCUUUACCUCCUCCGAUGGCGGCGCAACCUUACACCACUCCAAUCCAUUCAAAAAUCACACCCUAGCAUCCCAUUCGACCCCUUAUACCAAAUUCAGUACCUUUUUCCUUCGAACCGUCAAAUAGUCUUUCAAAUCUGGAAUCAAAGCUUGAAACCCUAAACCCCAAAUCGCUUCGCCUUCGGAUCUGUGGCAUUAAACACCUAAACUUCAGAAUUUUUGAGUUUCGAAAUUUAAUUUGGCAUAAAGUAGUGUUGGUCGUUUGUUCUUGACAAAGAACAAACGAUUAACACGUGUUGUGUUAAAUCAAGGCGUCCAGUGUUGGCUUCGAGUGGUGUAGGUAAGUUUUCUUGCAUUUUUCUGUCCACUUGUGUUAUUUCACUUCCUGUCCUCUUCUUUUCUUCUCCUUUUUCUUUAAGUAGACUGAAAAUCGACCAAGGUUAUGAACCUAUUUUUUCCAUUCUGGAUUGAUUCAUGUCCGUAUUUGUUCCGUCUUCUUUCCAAUUAUCUUUUCAACAUUUAAAAAAGCUAUUCAUUGAUUCCAUUUGGUUUAUUCAUCUACGUUUAAGUUUCUGAUUUUUGUCCAUCAUAUUCUAGUCGUAAAAUAACUUGACUAGAUGUUGUUUAAUUUGGUCAUCUAGCUUAAUUUUAGUUUUAUUCAUAUUAAUUAAAAAUCAGUCAAUCCUUUGGUGUUGAAAACAUUCAACUGUUUCUUUUUUUGUUUCUCACUAAAUCGUUAAAAUUAGCUUCUGAUAUGGUUUGGGCUUUGGGUUCGUUUCUGACCCAUUUUUAAGGGAAGCCCAUCCAUUUUGAUUUGGAGUCUUGGGUCAAGAUUGACCCAUGAUGGUCUACUAAAGUAAAUAAUAAGGUAUUAAAGGGUAAUUCAGGGAUUUUAAGUAGAAAAUUGCUAGGAAGGAAAGAUUAGGACCUGUUUAGAAAAUUAUUUUUCAACCAAAGAUCUAAGAGCAAAAAUAAAAAUUCAAAAAGGAUUAAUGGGAAACUUCUGAAUUAUUUAUACUGCCCUAAAGAUUCUCUAUAAAAGGCCUUUACUUCUUAAUCAAAAUAGAUUUUAGAAACUAAAAAAUAUUGAAAUUUAGAAAACAGCCGAGUCUUCAAAAUACUAAAAUCUAUUGUAAUUUCUGGUGGAAAUUGGGUCUAACUUCUAUUUGUUCUAGCAUCUAAAAAUUACAUUAUGGGUUAUUUUUGAGGUUCUAAAAUGGUUUUCAAGUCUGGUUGUUGCUGGUAUACUGAAUCGAAUCUGCUGCUGUUUUUUCUUCUUAAAUUCCCCGUUCAUUUCUAUUGUUAUUUGUUGUUGUAAGAAGAUACUCAUUGAACCUUACUGAUAUGUUGAAAUGGAAGAGUUUUGAAGUUGGCUAAUUAAGUCAAAAUAUCAGUGAUAUAUCUUUUAUUUUUCUGCAGCCAUUUGGUUCUGUAAUUAAUUUAACUCUCUUCAUGUUGUAUUUGUUCUUUUUAUUUUUAUUUUUAGCUUUAAGCUAUGUUUGUAGUACUGGAUAAACUAUUUCCUCCAGUCAUUUAGUUUAAAUGAGCUGAGUUUGUGUUGGUAUGAUUGGAUUGUUAAUAUUACUGCGGUAGAGACUUCAGUCGAAUUAAACAUGGCUUAGAUACACUCUAGUCUGCGGAAAUCAAUGUUUGUUUGUGGUAAUUUUUGUUUGAAUUUGCUGAAUAUGUAAUAAAGACUUUCAGUCGAAAUUUAUGCUAAUAGAUGUAUCCUGCUAUUUGGAAGCCAUGUAGUAUGAAGUAAUUAACUAAAUGAUUAGUCAGUUUACAGUCCUCUUGGAUAAGAAAAUGGUUUGGGCUAUUACCUUAAGAGUCGAGCCAUGUAUGGAAUUACUUUUGGUUGCGUGUAAGUAUGUUUAAGUUGAGAUUGAUGUUUAAAUUUAAACUUGUUUACUUGUCAGUCUCAUGAGGUUUGAUUUGCUAAUUAUAUGUAUUGAAGAGGAGUUUUAAUUAAGGUUUAAAUCUCAUAAUUGUCGAUUUUGAGUUAGCUGGAAGAUUGAUUUGACUGUGUUGAAAGUCAUGUUGGGCUUAUGUUGAUACCCCUAGUGUUUAGACGCUUUUUGCAUGCCAUGGAGACUCGAUCUCGAAUCUUGCACUCCCUACCCCCUAGUUCUCAAAAAUUUUGGGCCGUUCUUUGGGGUCUAGACCUUGAGGCCAUCUGAAAUGUGAAUGAGAUUUUUACAUAUACAUCCCAUAUAGCAAACCUUACAACCACCCAUGUUUAAGGUUUGUGUUUAUUACAUUUAAGUAUACAACCUUUCAAUUUAUGUAUCAAAAUUAUAUUUAAGGUUUAAUGAUCAACUUAUUAAUGAUAGGCUUGAUUUGUGGAACAAAAUCUUUUCAUAUUUUUUUUUACACGUUUUUCUCUUUCUUCCAACAAAACCGAUGCAUUUCUCCCCUUUUUUAAUUACACCCCCCUCCCCACGUUUAUUUACCAAAACAGAAUUCUCUAAUUCUCUGCUUUUAUUUCAUCCUCCAUUGUCAUCCUCCAUUUUCGAAGGUUGCCAUGUUUCAGAUCGAGAGUUUCAUUCGCCAUAUUUUUAGCCUACGGUUGCAUCGAAGUCCGCCACAUUGCUUUAAUUUCUCUGCUUUAAUGUUUUGUAGUUUAAUAUAUUUUUGCCAAAAAAUAGAAUGCAAGUGUUUUUUUGGUGUUUAAUUUUUUGUCAAAAUGUACUGUAUUAUUGCAUACUAGGGUUGUUUAUACAAAUUGUAAUUAAUUGUAGUUUUUUGGAGUUAAUUUGUAGUUAAUUGGCAAAAUGUACUAUUGAAUCAAAUUUGUAGUUAAUUGUAGUUUUUGUAGUUUGAUGUAGUUUAAUGUACUUUUUAUUUGGAACUAUGACUGUUGACUCAAAUUUUUAGUUAAUUAUAGUUUUUGUAGUUUAAUGUAGUUUACUGUACUUUUUAUUUGGAACUGUGAUAAAAAUACAGUGUAUAAAAGUAGUUACAUUGUACAUGCNN